This 392-nucleotide ribosomal RNA is filed under the name Paralatindia sp. MD-2014. RNAcentral describes it as "partial 12S ribosomal RNA". Lineage: Eukaryota; Metazoa; Arthropoda; Insecta; Blattodea; Corydiidae. The record is from RNAcentral.
UAUUAUUUAAGAUGUAAAUUUACUUGAUUAAUAUUAGUUAAUUUCUUAGAAAUUUAAAAAUAUUUGGCGGUAUAUUAGUCUUUUUAGAGGAAUUUGUUUCUUUAUCGAUAAUCCUCGUUUAAUCUUACUUGAUUUUAUGUUUAUAUAUCGUCGUAUAGAAUUUUUUUUUAGUUUAUUUUUAAUAAUUUAUUUAUUUAUUAUUUCAGAUCAAGGUUUAAUUUAUAUUUAAGUGUUUAAUUAGUUACAAUAUUAGUUUAUUAUUAAGUAUUUAUGGAUAUUAAAUUUUAAUAUUUAUUUGAAGGUGGAUUUAAUUGUAAUUUUUUUUUAUUUUGUAAAUUUGAGUUAUAGCUCUAUUUUAUGUACAUAUUGCCCGUCACUCUUUAUUAUUAUAU